Molecule: long non-coding RNA, 439 nt
Filed under: Mustela putorius furo (domestic ferret)
Lineage: Eukaryota; Metazoa; Chordata; Mammalia; Carnivora; Mustelidae
Description: lncRNA (ENSMPUG00000029875.1)
Source: RNAcentral
GGAGUGUGGCACUUUCAAGAGCCUCAGAGUCAAUAUGGCGGAUGCGUUGGGAGGGAGAGAAGAGAUGCCGAGCCCCUGGGGACCAGCUCCCGAGUGGCUGCUUCUGCCUUGCCAGCCUUAAACAUCUGGGGGCCCUGUACAAGAUGCUAGAGAUAUGAAGAAGACCGGAACAUUCCCUUCCUUCAAAUUAUUCUGAGUCCAGUGGAGGAGACAGAAACUGAGAUCUGAAGAGAGCCUGGGAGUUAAUUAAGUGACGGACUCUUGGGGCGCCUGGGUGGCUCGGUUGUUAAGCAUCUGCCUUUGGCUCAGGUCAUGAUCCCAGAGCCCUGGGAUUGAGCCCCUCAUCAGCUUGCUUCUCCCCUCCCACUCCCCAGCUUGUGUUCCCUCUCUUGCUGUGUCUCUCUCUGUCAAAUAAAUAAAUAAAACCUUAAAAGAAGAA